CCUACGGGGGGCAGCAGUAAGGAAUAUUGGACAAUGGCGGAGACGCUGAUCCAGCUAUCCCGCGUGCAGGAUGACGGCCCUACGGGUUGUAAACUGCUUUAGACUGGGGCGAAAAAGUGGGAUUUAUCCUACAUUGACGGUACCAGUAAAAUAAGCACCGGCUAACUCCGUGCCAGCAGCCGCGGUAAUACGGAGGGUGCCAGCGUUACUCGGAAUCACUGGGUCGUAGGGGUGCGGUUAAGUCUUGUUAGAAAGGCCAUGGCUCAACUAUGGGAUUGCUUUUGAUACUGACGAGCUUGGAUUAGGACGAGGUUGGCGGAAUGUGGCAAGUAGCGGUGAAAUGCAUAGAUAUGCCAUAGAAUACCGAUUGCGAAGGCAGCUGACUAGACCUAUAUUGACGCUGAGGCACGAAAGCGUGGGGAGCGAACAGGAUUAGAUACCCUUGUAGUC
Molecule: ribosomal RNA, 450 nt
Filed under: uncultured bacterium
Lineage: Bacteria
Description: partial 16S ribosomal RNA
Rfam family: Bacterial small subunit ribosomal RNA
Source: RNAcentral